AUGAACGCUGGAGGAGUGCCUAAUACAUGCAAGUCGAGCGAACAGACGAGGAGCUUGCUCCUCUGACGUUAGCGGCGGACGGGUGAGUAACACGUGGAUAACCUACCUAUAAGACUGGGAUAACUUCGGGAAACCGGAGCUAAUACCGGAUAAUAUAUUGAACCGCAUGGUUCAAUAGUGAAAGACGGUUUUGCUGUCACUUAUAGAUGGAUCCGCGCCGCAUUAGCUAGUUGGUAAGGUAACGGCUUACCAAGGCAACGAUGCGUAGCCGACCUGAGAGGGUGAUCGGCCACACUGGAACUGAGACACGGUCCAGACUCCUACGGGAGGCAGCAGUAGGGAAUCUUCCGCAAUGGGCGAAAGCCUGACGGAGCAACGCCGCGUGAGUGAUGAAGGUCUUCGGAUCGUAAAACUCUGUUAUUAGGGAAGAACAAAUGUGUAAGUAACUAUGCACGUCUUGACGGUACCUAAUCAGAAAGCCACGGCUAACUACGUG
Molecule: ribosomal RNA, 496 nt
Filed under: uncultured bacterium
Lineage: Bacteria
Description: partial 16S ribosomal RNA
Rfam family: Bacterial small subunit ribosomal RNA
Source: RNAcentral